GAUGAACGCUGGCGGCGUGCCUAAUACAUGCAAGUCGAGCGAACGGACGAGAAGCUUGCUUUUCUGAUGUUAGCGGCGCACGGGUGAGUAACACGUGGAUAACCUACCUAUAAGACUGGGAUAACUUCGGGAAACCGGAGCUAAUACCGGAUAAUAUUUUGAACCGCAUGGUUCAAAAGUGAAAGACGGUCUUGCUGUCACUUAUAGAUGGAUCCGCGCUGCAUUAGCUAGUUGGUAAGGUAACGGCUUACCAAGGCAACGAUGCAUAGCCGACCUGAGAGGGUGAUCGGCCACACUGGAACUGAGACACGGUCCAGACUCCUACGGGAGGCAGCAGUAGGGAAUCUUCCGCAAUGGGCGAAAGCCUGACGGAGCAACGCCGCGUGAGUGAUGAAGGUCUUCGGAUCGUAAAACUCUGUUAUUAGGGAAGAACAUAUGUGUAAGUAACUGUGCACAUCUUGACGGUACCUAAUCAGAAAGCCACGGCUAACUACGUG
RNAcentral lists this ribosomal RNA (497 nucleotides) under uncultured bacterium. RNAcentral's name for it is "partial 16S ribosomal RNA". It matches the Rfam family "Bacterial small subunit ribosomal RNA", at positions 28 to 507 of the family's 1533-position model. The record is from RNAcentral.